CACGUAGGGGGCAAGCGUUGUCCGGAUUCAUUGGGCGUAAAGAGCUCGUAGGCGGUUCGAUAAGUCGGGUGUGAAACCUCCAGGCUCAACCUGGAGACGCCACCCGAUACUGUCGUGACUAGAGUCCAGUAGGGGAGCGUGGAAUUCCUGGUGUAGCGGUGAAAUGCGCAGAUAUCUGGAGGAACACCGGUGGCGAAGGCGGCAUCCUGGACCAACACUGACGCUGAGGAGCGAAAGCCAGGGGAGCAAACGGG
Molecule: ribosomal RNA, 254 nt
Filed under: uncultured bacterium
Lineage: Bacteria
Description: partial 16S ribosomal RNA
Rfam family: Bacterial small subunit ribosomal RNA
Source: RNAcentral